RNAcentral lists this ribosomal RNA (2880 nucleotides) under Spongiibacter nanhainus. RNAcentral describes it as "Bacterial large subunit ribosomal RNA". It matches the Rfam family "Bacterial large subunit ribosomal RNA". The record is from Rfam by way of RNAcentral. Lineage: Bacteria; Pseudomonadati; Pseudomonadota; Gammaproteobacteria; Cellvibrionales; Spongiibacteraceae.
GGUCAAGCGACUAAGCGCAUACGGUGGAUGCCUUGGCAAUUGGAGGCGAUGAAGGACGUUGGAGCCUGCGAAAAGUGUGGGGGAGUCGGCAACCAGACUUUGAUCCCGCGAUGUCCGAAUGGGGAAACCCACCCGUCAUAAGGCGGGUAUCUCUUAACUGAAUACAUAGGUUUUGAGAGGCGAACCCGGGGAACUGAAACAUCUAAGUACCCGGAGGAAAAGAAAUCAACCGAGAUUCCCUUAGUAGCGGCGAGCGAACGGGGACUAGCCGAGCAGCGACUGAUUAGUGGAACGGUCUGGAAAGUCCGGCGAUACAGGGUGAUAGCCCCGUACACGAAAAUCUGAGCUGACGUAUUAAGUAGGUCGGGACACGUGAUAUCUUGACUGAAGAUAGGGGGACCAUCCUCUAAGGCUAAAUACUCCCAAUUGACCGAUAGUGAACCAGUACCGUGAGGGAAAGGCGAAAAGAACCCCGGAGAGGGGAGUGAAAUAGAACCUGAAACCGUAUGCGUACAAGCAGUAGGAGCAGACUUGUUCUGUGACUGCGUACCUUUUGUAUAAUGGGUCAGCGACUUAAUGUUUGUAGCGAGCUUAACCGUUUAGGGGAGGCGUAGGGAAACCGAGUCUUAAUAGGGCGAAUUAGUUGCAGGCAUUAGACCCGAACCCCGGUGAUCUAUCCAUGGCCAGGUUGAAGAUGCCGUAACAGGCAUUGGAGGACCGAACCCACAAAUGUUGAAAAAUUUGGGGAUGAGCUGUGGAUCGGAGUGAAAGGCUAAUCAAACCGGGAGAUAGCUGGUUCUCCUCGAAAUCUAUUUAGGUAGAGCGUCAUGUCUUACCCUGGGGGGUAGAGCACUGUUUGGGCUAGGGGGUCAUCCCGACUUACCAAACCCAUGCAAACUCCGAAUACCCAGGAGUACAAUCAUGGCAGACACACGGCGGGUGCUAACGUCCGUCGUGGAAAGGGAAACAACCCAGACCGCCAGCUAAGGUCCCAAAUGCUAGUUAAGUGGGAAACGAUGUGGGAAGGCUUAGACAGCUAGGAGGUUGGCUUAGAAGCAGCCAUCCUUUAAAGAAAGCGUAAUAGCUCACUAGUCGAGUCGGCCUGCGCGGAAGAUGUAACGGGGCUAAAUUAGCAACCGAAGCUGCGGAUGCACUAUGUGCAUGGUAGAGGAGCGUUCUGUACGCCUGCGAAGGUGAGUCGAGAGGCUUGCUGGAGGUAUCAGAAGUGCGAAUGCUGACAUGAGUAACGAUAAAGGGGGUGAAAAACCCCCUCGCCGGAAGACCAAGGUUUCCUGCCCCAUGCUAAUCAGGGCAGGGUUAGUCGGCCCCUAAGGUGAGGCUGAAAAGCGUAAUCGAUGGGAAACGGGUUAAUAUUCCCGUACUUGUUAUUACUGCGAUGGAGAGACGGAGUAGGCUAGGCGAUCGCGGCGUUGGUUGUCCGCGUUUAAGGUUGUAGGCUGGGGGAUUAGGCAAAUCCGGUCCCCUAAGGCUGAGAGCUGAUGACGAGUCCUCUUUUGGACGAAGUCGUUGAUGCCAUGCUUCCAAGAAAAUCUUCUAAGCUUCAGGUAAUAACGAACCGUACCCCAAACCGACACAGGUGGUCAGGUAGAGAAUACCAAGGCGCUUGAGAGAACUCGGGUGAAGGAACUAGGCAAAAUGGUACCGUAACUUCGGGAGAAGGUACGCCGGCUUGGGUGAUGGGACUUGCUCCCUAAGCCUAGGUUGGCCGAAGUGACCAGGUGGCUGCGACUGUUUAUCAAAAACAUAGCACUCUGCAAACUCGAAAGAGGACGUAUAGGGUGUGACGCCUGCCCGGUGCCGGAAGGUUAAUUGAUGGGGUUAGCUUCGGCGAAGCUCUUGAUCGAAGCCCCGGUAAACGGCGGCCGUAACUAUAACGGUCCUAAGGUAGCGAAAUUCCUUGUCGGGUAAGUUCCGACCUGCACGAAUGGCGUAACGAUGGCCACGCUGUCUCCACCCGAGACUCAGUGAAAUUGAAAUCGCUGUUAAGAUGCAGUGUACCCGCGGCUAGACGGAAAGACCCCGUGAACCUUUACUAUAGCUUCACAGUGGACUCUGAUAUUACUUGUGUAGGAUAGCUGGGAGGCUUUGAAACUGUGGCGCCAGCUGCAGUGGAGCCGACCUUGAAAUACCAGCCUGGUACUAUUGGGGUUCUAACUCUGGUCCAUUAUCUGGAUCGAGGACAUUGUGUGGUGGGUAGUUUGACUGGGGCGGUCUCCUCCCAAAGCGUAACGGAGGAGCACGAAGGUGCGCUAAUCAUGGUCGGAAAUCAUGAGGUUAGUGUAAUGGCACAAGCGCGCUUAACUGCGAGACUGACAAGUCGAGCAGGUACGAAAGUAGGUCAUAGUGAUCCGGUGGUUCUGUAUGGAAGGGCCAUCGCUCAACGGAUAAAAGGUACUCCGGGGAUAACAGGCUGAUACCGCCCAAGAGUUCACAUCGACGGCGGUGUUUGGCACCUCGAUGUCGGCUCAUCACAUCCUGGGGCUGAAGCCGGUCCCAAGGGUAUGGCUGUUCGCCAUUUAAAGUGGUACGCGAGCUGGGUUCAGAACGUCGUGAGACAGUUCGGUCCCUAUCUGCCGUGGGCGUUGGAGAUUUGAGGAAAGCUGCUCCUAGUACGAGAGGACCGGAGUGGACGAACCUCUGGUGUUCGGGUUGUCACGCCAGUGGCAUUGCCCGGUAGCUACGUUCGGACGGGAUAACCGCUGAAAGCAUCUAAGCGGGAAGCCUCUUCCAAGAUAAGAUCUCCCUGGGACCUUGAGUCCCCUAAAGAGCCGUUCAAGACUAGGACGUUGAUAGGCUGGGUGUGUAAGCGUUGUGAGGCGUUGAGCUAACCAGUACUAAUUGCUCGUGAGGCUUGACCAU